RNAcentral lists this ribosomal RNA (253 nucleotides) under uncultured bacterium. Its description in RNAcentral is "partial 16S ribosomal RNA". It matches the Rfam family "Bacterial small subunit ribosomal RNA", at positions 524 to 776 of the family's 1533-position model. The record is from RNAcentral.
UACAGAGGGUGCGAACGUUGCUCGGAAUUACUGGGCGUAAAGCGCAUGUAGGCGGGUCGGCAAGUCAGAUGUGAAAUCCCCGGGCUCAACCCGGGAACUGCAUCUGAAACUGCCGGUCUUGAGUACUGGAGAGGGUGGCGGAAUUCCUGGUGUAGAGGUGAAAUUCGUAGAUAUCAGGAGGAACACCGGUGGCGAAGGCGGCCACCUGGACAGUAACUGACGCUGAGAUGCGAAAGCGUGGGGAGCAAACAGG